UAAGGAAUAUUGGUCAAUGGACGAAAGUCUGAACCAGCCAUGCCGCGUGGAGGAUGAAGGCCCUCUGGGUUGUAAACUUCUUUUAUAUGGGACGAAAAAGGGUCUUUCUAGAUCAACUGACGGUACCAUGUGAAUAAGCACCGGCUAACUCCGUGCCAGCAGCCGCGGUAAUACGGAGGGUGCAAGCGUUAUCCGGAUUCACUGGGUUUAAAGGGUGCGUAGGUGGGUUGGUAAGUCAGUGGUGAAAUCUCCGAGCUUAACUCGGAAACUGCCAUUGAUACUAUAGGUCUUGAAUUAUCUGGAGGUAAGCGGAAUAUGUCAUGUAGCGGUGAAAUGCUUAGAUAUGACAUAGAACAACGAUUGCGAAGGCAGCUUACUACGGAUAUAUUGACACUGAGGCUCGAAAGCGUGGGGAUCAAACA
RNAcentral lists this ribosomal RNA (422 nucleotides) under uncultured bacterium. RNAcentral describes it as "bacterial SSU rRNA". It matches the Rfam family "Bacterial small subunit ribosomal RNA", at positions 355 to 774 of the family's 1533-position model. The record is from RNAcentral.